UUAUUUGUAUCAUCCAAGUUUAGAUGAUUUUUAAUAGGAAUAAUGGAUUUUAAUAAUCCUAACUAUUAGUUGUUGGCCGAUAAAGGUCUCAACUUAAAAAAUAACCAGUGGUGGUCCCACCUUUUUACAUAUUGUAAACUAAUGGAUUUUUACUAACAGAAAAGGAAAAUGGGACAAAAAGAAAUUAAGGUUUUACUGGUAAAGGUCCAUUGAUUUACAAUAUGUGAAAAUGUGAUACCACCACUUGUUAUAUUUUAAGUUGGGACCAUUGCCGACCAACAGCUAAUAAUUGAGAUUAUUAAAAUCCAAUAUUCCUUUUUAUAUUGUUUGAUGUGAAUGUUUGACUUGAUUUUGAAUCUUUGUUAUUUUAGUAAAAUCCUAAUUUGUACUCUUAUGACGUAUAUGAUUACCUUUUGA
This 417-nucleotide long non-coding RNA is filed under the name Helianthus annuus (common sunflower). Its description in RNAcentral is "hypothetical non coding rna". Lineage: Eukaryota; Viridiplantae; Streptophyta; Magnoliopsida; Asterales; Asteraceae. The record is from RNAcentral.